GUUCGAUAUGCAGAUCUUGCUCAACUGUAGGGAGAAUACAGAACAGUUCUCUCUUGUGUCUGUAUCUUUUGUGGGUAAUGUUAAGUAAAGCUGUCAGAACUAACAGAACCUGCGAACCCACAUAGAUCAGAUGUAUAUCCAUCUGUUCACAUUUGAAAACAGAUUAUUUAUGUUCAUGCAUAGCUCCUUGCAUGUUCUUUGUUGGGGGCUAAUUUAUUUUGCUUGAUGUUCAUCUGUGACAGAUGAGAGUAGCUGUUGACAGGGCUGGAGAAGUUGAAGAGACCACAAGAAUGUGGCUUUCCAUGAUGGCAAGAGACUGCAGCCGUUUCUGUAUAAUUAUGAGAUCGUCUGUCAACAAAGCUGCUACUGCUCCAACAUCUAGUUAUGUUGAUUCACAAGGACAGGAAGAAAAUAUUCUUUGCAGAUGAAGUUGGUGGGCCUCUAUGUCAUGUCAAGGUUUUUGAAGAUCAACUGGCUUCUCUCUGUGGCUCUGAAUGUGACACUGAGAAAUUCUUAGGCAACUAAAACUGAAAGAAUUACUUCUUGUACAAUACCAUUGUUGAUAUUUAAAAUGCCAAUUUCAUGGUCAAACAGCCCCGAAGAUCAUUUCUGUCAUUACAACAAGCCUAAGAGCUCUAAGCUUCUUUUAAGGUCUUGUUGCUUCUCAUAAGCAUCUUUUCCUACAGUAGGAUAUUUCAUUGAUUUUAUUUAUUUUGAUGAGCUUGUUAUGUAAUAUUUGAAGCUGCUUGAUAAAGUACUUUGGCCUGCAGCUUAUGGAAGAACUAGAAUAUGUUUUCUGUCUUGAUUCUCAAGUAUAUUGACAAAAGGACAAAAUGGUUUAUGCA
Molecule: long non-coding RNA, 845 nt
Organism: Macadamia integrifolia
Lineage: Eukaryota; Viridiplantae; Streptophyta; Magnoliopsida; Proteales; Proteaceae
Exons: 2
Source: RefSeq, a predicted model, not a curated record